UUUAUAUUGGUAUUCUCGAGGUAACGGGGGCUAUUGUGUAUAGGUAUUGUUUUCGUGGUAAUGAAAUUUGUUAAUGGACAAUAGUAAUGAAAUAUUUAUCGGCUGUUAGGAUAUCUAGUUAUUCAUUAAAUAGUAAAUACUAGUGGUGUUAAAAUUUAUAAGAUUAGUUAUAAAUUGUGGUAGCUUUAGAAAGUUAGAAAGACAUUGAUUGCUUUAAUAGUAAGAAUUGGUUAGUGUGUUAUUACAAGUGUUUGAUAUAUAAGGAUUAAAAUAAAAACUAUUAUAUAGUGAAUAAUUUUAUUUAAAGAAAUAUUAAAAAUUAUAAUGGUAAAAUGAGUAUAAAUUAUAUAAAAGGAAUAUAAAUAUUAGAUGAUAAAAUGUGUUGGGUAAAAUUAUUUGUAAAUAACUCGGCAAUGAAGUUCUAAAAUGUUUAACAAAAACAUUUCCUUUUUGGUGAAAGGUAGAUUCUGCCCAGUGUUGUAAUAAACGGCUGCGGUAUUCUGACCGUACGAAGGUAGCAAAAUAAAUAGUCUUUUAAUUGGGGACUGGAAUGAAAGAUUUAAUUAGGAACUUGCUUUUUUGCAGAUAAUAAUAGAAUUUAAUUAAUAAGUUAAAAGGCUUAUGUAUUUUAGAGUGACAAGAAGACCCUAAGAGUUUUACAAAUUAAGCUAUUUAAGGCAAUUGGGUGUGAAUGUUUUGUUUGGUUGAUUUUGUUUAACUGGGGCGGUUAAAAUAAUAUCUAUUUUGUAUUGGACUUGAAUGGGAGGGUUAGUUAGAUAGUAGGAUCCUUUUUGGAAAGCAAAAUAAAUUACCUUAGGGAUAACAGCAUAAUCUUUUUUGAGAGACCGUAUUGACAAAAAGGUUUGUGACCUCGAUGUUGGAUUUGAAUAACUUUUUGGAGCAGCAUUUUUACAAGUUGUCUGUUCGACCAU
RNAcentral lists this ribosomal RNA (932 nucleotides) under Vargula sp. A NW-2004. RNAcentral describes it as "partial 16S ribosomal RNA". The stretch from base 416 to 573 matches the Rfam family "Archaeal large subunit ribosomal RNA", at positions 1881 to 2091 of the family's 2987-position model. The record is from RNAcentral. Lineage: Eukaryota; Metazoa; Arthropoda; Ostracoda; Myodocopida; Cypridinidae.